ACUCCUACGGGAGGCAGCAGUAGGGAAUCUUCCACAAUGGGCGCAAGCCUGAUGGAGCAACACCGCGUGAGUGAAGAAGGGUUUCGGCUCGUAAAGCUCUGUUGUUAAAGAAGAACACGUAUGAGAGUAACCGUUCAUACGUUGACGGUAUUUAACCAGAAAGUCACGGCUAACUACGUGCCAGCAGCCGCGGUAAUACGUAGGUGGCAAGCGUUAUCCGGAUUUAUUGGGCGUAAAGAGAGUGCAGGCGGUUUUCUAAGUCUGAUGUGAAAGCCUUCGGCUUAACCGGAGAAGUGCAUCGGAAACUGGAUAACUUGAGUGCAGAAGAGGGUAGUGGAACUCCAUGUGUAGCGGUGGAAUGUGUAGAUAUAUGGAAGAACACCAGUGGCGAAGGCGGCUACCUGGUCUGCAACUGACGCUGAGACUCGAAAGCAUGGGUAGCGAACAGGAUUAGAUACCCUGGUAGGAUAGCG
This 473-nucleotide ribosomal RNA is filed under the name uncultured bacterium. RNAcentral's name for it is "bacterial SSU rRNA". It matches the Rfam family "Bacterial small subunit ribosomal RNA", at positions 335 to 801 of the family's 1533-position model. The record is from RNAcentral.